AGUAAUUUAACUCAUAGCUAUCAAUUUAAAACUUAAUUAGUAGUCUCGAAACUAUGGCCCCUACUUCUAAAAUUGUUUUUCUUGGCUUCCUUCUCGUUACCAUGGCCGUGUUAUCUAGUUUGCCUUCAACAGAAGGUUUAGGGCCAUCACCAUAUGUUUGCGUGGGACCAUGUUCAAAUCCAUCUAGCUGCAAUACUCAAUGCCUUCAGAAAGGUCAUAGCAAAGGUGGUUCUUGUGUUGGCUCCGGCACCUCUGGAUUAAGUUGUUGUUGCACACUGUGAUGCCAUACUUCAAUUUCGGAAAAAUUCCGUUUUUAUUUAGAUGCAACGAAUGUAAUAAAUCUAGCAAGUUAUUGCUCCAAAUUUUCCUUAAUAUUUGAGUAUUGAUACACUCAUACACCAAUGAUAGUACAAUUCUGCAAAAGGUCUUGCAUGCACAAGUUAUACAAUAAAAUUAUAUAUUGUACAACAUAA
Spinacia oleracea (spinach) is the source of this 473-nucleotide long non-coding RNA. RefSeq lists it as uncharacterized. The record is from RefSeq and is a predicted model, not a curated record. NCBI's taxonomy places the organism in Eukaryota, Viridiplantae, Streptophyta, Magnoliopsida, Caryophyllales, Amaranthaceae. The transcript has 2 exons.